ACCCCAUGGUGUGGACAAGAUCGUGUGUAUCCCUUAAACCGUUCCCAAGCUUCAAACAACGAUUCAUUGCCUCCUUGCUUGAAAGUAGCGAUGUCAUUUCUUAUUUU
Arabis alpina (gray rockcress) is the source of this 107-nucleotide non-coding RNA. NCBI's taxonomy places the organism in Eukaryota, Viridiplantae, Streptophyta, Magnoliopsida, Brassicales, Brassicaceae. The record is from Rfam.